CACUCCUACGGGAGGCAGCAGUGGGGAAUUUUGGACAAUGGGCGAAAGCCUGAUCCAGCAAUGCCGCGUGAGUGAAGAAGGCCUUCGGGUUGUAAAGCUCUUUUGUCAGGGAAGAAACGGUGAAAGCUAAUAUCUUUUGCUAAUGACGGUACCUGAAGAAUAAGCACCGGCUAACUACGUGCCAGCAGCCGCGGUAAUACGUAGGGUGCAAGCGUUAAUCGGAAUUACUGGGCGUAAAGCGUGCGCAGGCGGUUUUGUAAGUCUGAUGUGAAAUCCCCGGGCUCAACCUGGGAAUUGCAUUGGAGACUGCAAGGCUAGAAUCUGGCAGAGGGGGGUAGAAUUCCACGUGUAGCAGUGAAAUGCGUAGAUAUGUGGAGGAACACCGAUGGCGAAGGCAGCCCCCUGGGUCAAGAUUGACGCUCAUGCACGAAAGCGUGGGGAGCAAACAGGAUUAGAUACCCGUGUAGUCCCAUGAU
Molecule: ribosomal RNA, 476 nt
Filed under: uncultured organism
Description: partial 16S ribosomal RNA
Rfam family: Bacterial small subunit ribosomal RNA
Source: RNAcentral